Long non-coding RNA from Harpia harpyja (harpy eagle), 623 nucleotides. RefSeq lists it as uncharacterized. Lineage: Eukaryota; Metazoa; Chordata; Aves; Accipitriformes; Accipitridae. The record is from RefSeq and is a predicted model, not a curated record. The transcript has 4 exons.
AUGCUGAAUUCUGAAAUAAUUUGUGCUUGAUUCCAGUGGCAGCUUGUUGUCUGGGAAUGACAUUUUCAGGUAUAGCUUUCAUUGCAGGCUCUCAUCUCUUGCCACCUGCCUAAAUCUGACAGUUGAGCACCAGCUGGGAGUUAUGACCCGGAGAAGCAUAAAAGGGCUGGAGAGAGACAAAAUGAUCCAUCAAGUCCUACUUGUUUUCAGCAAUUGUGUGAAAAUCAGCUCAGAACUUCUGUUUGUUUGUUCCUGUGGAUGCUCUCAGUGUUUGGAGACCAGGGCCUCCAUGGAGAGGGAGGGGAAUGCCAAAGCAGCGAAGGCUUGUAAUUUAACCCACUGGCAUGUAUAAGAUCCAAAGAGCAGGAAAAACUUUCUUCCUUUCAGCAAUGCAUAGAAAAUAAGCUGCCUUUUAGAAGACAAAAUUGUAGUUUAAUGAAGUCAUGGGUGGAAGUUACUGUCUGGAUCUUGCUACGCUUGCAGAAGAGCACUGUGGCACAUCUUGUGGACCGCAAGACUGGGAAGGAAGAGGUGAUAGCAGUGACAGUGUAUGUAACAAGCUGAGAGAAGGGGCCCUACCAGUGAUGAUGGAUAUAGACACUCAGACCACAUGCUCCACCAGG